GACGAACGCUGGCGGCGUGCCUAAUACAUGCAAGUUGAGCGAUGAAGAUUGGUGCUUGCACCAAUUUGAAGAGCAGCGAACGGGUGAGUAACGCGUGGGGAAUCUGCCUUUGAGCGGGGGACAACAUUUGGAAACGAAUGCUAAUACCGCAUAAUAACUUUAAACAUAAGUUUUAAGUUUGAAAGAUGCAAUUGCAUCACUCAAAGAUGAUCCCGCGUUGUAUUAGCUAGUUGGUGAGGUAAAGGCUCACCAAGGCGAUGAUACAUAGCCGACCUGAGAGGGUGAUCGGCCACAUUGGGAAUGAGACACGGCCCAAACUCCUACGGGAGGCAGCAGUAGGGAAUCUUCGGCAAUGGACGAAAGUCUGACCGAGCAACGCCGCGUGAGUGAAGAAGGUUUUCGGAUCGUAAAACUCUGUUGGUAGAGAAGAACGUUGGUGAGAGUGGAAAGCUCAUCAAGUGACGGUAACUACCCAGAAAGGGACGGCUAACUACGUG
RNAcentral lists this ribosomal RNA (497 nucleotides) under uncultured bacterium. Its description in RNAcentral is "partial 16S ribosomal RNA". It matches the Rfam family "Bacterial small subunit ribosomal RNA", at positions 28 to 507 of the family's 1533-position model. The record is from RNAcentral.